AUGGAGGAAGAUUCUUCAGAAUUUUUGAUAGAGAUUCUACAGAUUUUUCUUUUAAUUUUCUCCUUAAUUUUCUUCCCCUCCUCUCUUCUAUUGAAUGAAGCUGGUUUUAUAAGUGAAUGGAUUCAAAUUUUUGGAUGCAAAAGUGUGGGAAUUUUGAGUUUGAGUGAAAAAUCAGAGGGGAGAAUUUAG
This is a non-coding RNA of Vicia faba (fava bean), 189 nucleotides long. The record is from the annotation of a GenBank genome assembly. NCBI's taxonomy places the organism in Eukaryota, Viridiplantae, Streptophyta, Magnoliopsida, Fabales, Fabaceae.